This 73-nucleotide transfer RNA is filed under the name Trichonephila clavata. It matches the Rfam family "tRNA". Rfam says of the family: Transfer RNA (tRNA) molecules are approximately 80 nucleotides in length. The record is from Rfam by way of RNAcentral. Lineage: Eukaryota; Metazoa; Arthropoda; Arachnida; Araneae; Nephilidae.
GCCUGGCUAGCUCAGUCGGUAGAGCACGAGAUUCUUAACCUCGGGGUAGUGGGUUUGAGCCCCAUGUUGGGCG